AUGGCCCAUCCCCACCACCAACGGGGAACAGAUGCCACGACACCGACCUCCUCCGCUCUAUCUAUAUCCCACGCCCACAUCCCCAGAUCAACACACGACUCCAACCAAACCGGCACCGACGACACACGCAGAGCAACAGAGAUGGAGGAGGCCAACGGCGGCGUGCUCUGCCGCGGCGGCACGGCCGAGGCGGGGGCGGGGGCGGAGGCUGGCCGCGCGCCGCACGUGGCGAUGCUGGUGACGCCGGGGAUGGGCCACCUGAUCCCGCUGGCGGAGCUGGCCAAGCGUCUCGCGGCGCGGCACGGCGCCACGGCCACGCUCAUCACCUUCGCCUCCACCGCCUCCGCCACGCAGCGGGCCUUCCUCGCCUCCCUCCCGCCGGCCAUCGCCUCUCUGUCUCUCCCUCCCGUCGACCUCUCCGACCUGCCGCCCGACGCCGCCAUCGAGACGCUCAUGUCCGAGGAGUGCGCCCGCGUGGUGCCCGCGCUCACGGGGGUCCUCUCAGGGCUGAAGGAGACGACAAGGCUGGUCGCGUUCGUCGCCGACCUCUUCGGGGCCGACUCCUUCGACGCCGCGGCGGCCGCCGGCGUGGCGAGGAGGUACCUGUUUUUCCCGACGAAUCUUCACGUCCUCACGCUCAUCCUCCACCUUCCGGAGCUCGACGUCUCCAUGCCCGGCGAGUUCCGGGACCUCGCCGAGCCCGUCAGGCUGCCCGGCUGCGUGCCCAUACCGGGGCCGGACAUCCUCUCGCCGCUCCAGGACAAGUCCAACCCCUGCUACCGCUGGAUGGUGCACCACGCCAGGCGCUACCGCGACGCCGAGGCCAUCCUCGUCAACUCCUUCGACGCCGUCGAGCCUGACGUCGCCCGGGUCCUCCGUGCCCCACAGCCCGGCCGCCCUCCGGUGUACAACAUCGGCCCGCUCAUAAAGACCGACGCCGUCGAGACUGACAACGAGCCGCGUGCACCGUGCCUUUGGCUGGACCGGCAGCCGCCCAGGUCGGUCAUCUUCGUCUCCUUCGGCUCCGGCGGCUCGCUUCCGGCGGAGCAGAUGCGGGAGCUCGCGCUGGGGCUGGAGCAGAGCGGACAACGCUUCCUGUGGGUGGUGCGGAGCCCGAGCGACGAGGGCGCGGUGAACGCCAACUACUACGACGCGGAGAGCAAGAAGGACCCCCUACCCUACCUCCCAGAGGGGUUCGUCGAGAGGACCAAGGAGGUGGGCCUCCUCGUGCCGUCAUGGGCCCCGCAGAUAAAGGUGCUGGCCCACGAGGCCACGGGAGGCUUCCUGGUGCACUGCGGGUGGAACUCGGUGCUGGAGAGCCUGGUGCACGGCGUGCCGAUGGUCGCCUGGCCCCUCUUCGCGGAGCAGCGGCAGAACGCCGUGAUGCUGAGCGAGGGGGUCGGCGCCGCGAUACGGGUGCCGGACACGAAGAGGAGGGAGGAGAUCGCCGCGGCGGUGAGGGAGGUGAUGGCAGGGCAGGGCAAGGGCGCCGAGGUGCGGGCCAAGGUGGCGGAGCUGCAGAAGGCGGCGGCGGAGGGCCUCCGCGAGGGGGGCGCCGCCACGACGGCGCUGGAUGAGGUGGUGCAUAAAUGGAUCGGCGGCGGGGACAAGGAUGAUGACGUGGGCAGGAAAUAA
Molecule: ribosomal RNA, 1635 nt
Filed under: Triticum aestivum (bread wheat)
Lineage: Eukaryota; Viridiplantae; Streptophyta; Magnoliopsida; Poales; Poaceae
Description: partial small subunit ribosomal RNA
Source: RNAcentral